This is a non-coding RNA of Coffea arabica (coffee), 271 nucleotides long. The record is from RefSeq and is a predicted model, not a curated record. Lineage: Eukaryota; Viridiplantae; Streptophyta; Magnoliopsida; Gentianales; Rubiaceae.
GUCUGAUCAAAGGGGCAAUCCAGGAGGAAACUUUUGACGCUAUUUUUGCUUGAACUAGGUACGGGGAUGACAAGGACAAGAAUAGUGCUAGUUGUAAUAGGAAAUCUUAAUCUUGUAUUUGGACGGCAUUGUAUUAUGGUAUUAGUUUACAAGUUUUUAUCUUUUGGUCUGUAUUUUGGUUUGUAUAUUCGGAUAAUUGGUAGUAUGUAGAUGUUAUAUUAAAGAGUUUUAGCGUUAUUGAUUUGCUAUCCAAAGAAUAAGGAAUUCAAAA